RNAcentral lists this long non-coding RNA (3027 nucleotides) under Mizuhopecten yessoensis (Yesso scallop). Its description in RNAcentral is "uncharacterized LOC110443298". The record is from RNAcentral. Lineage: Eukaryota; Metazoa; Mollusca; Bivalvia; Pectinida; Pectinidae.
CCUGCAUCCAUUUCCGUCUGCAUUCUCUGAGGACUCGAUACGUCUGAACUCAUGGAGAAUUACACAAGGAAGGCCGUAGAGGUUGGAUAGAAAACUGCAAUGGUGGAGAGAGCGGGAAAGCAAGCAUGCACACGUACGUUUGCCGCAGAACAACAUAGCAAUACCAGGUAAAUGGUAGUCUACUUCCGGUUUUGGAUUCUUUUCUUCGAAUGAUUAUACAUGUGAUACGAUCUAGUGUUUUUUUCAAUUUGAAGAAAUACAAAAUAACUCGGACCAACUAUGGCAAUUACACAGAAGUCAGGUGAUAAUGGCUUUCCAGAGGAGAAUUCCUGUGACAUUAAACUUGCUACUGCGGCCAUUAAAGAUUGCCAAAUCAUGCUUAAAUCAACGCAAAGAGGGAAAGCAGAAGAAAAAAGAAAGCGAUGCUCGGAUGCUAGCAAGAAUCAGGAAACAACAACAAACUGUGCGAAAAUGGUAAAAUGAAAUUUCAUACCCGAAAAAAACAUACGGAUCAUCUAUAAAGUAACAUGACCCAGCGUCAGCUACCGAGUUUAUGACAGCAAUCAAGUGUGUUAUAUACCGUAACAGCAGAUUAAGCUCUUUACAAGAGAGCGAUUGUGUGAAGGAUGAUUAUACGACCUUAAAGAUGUCAACACAUUAAAGGUCAAUGUCUAUUGAAGCUUUUACACUGCAUCAUUAUGUCGUUUAAAAUGUGUUUCCUUUUUAAUUGAACUAAACACAAUACCACACCAAAGAUUUAUUUUUUCUUUACAAAACACUUGAAGUAGGUCAGAAUACACAUCUAACACAAUGUCUACACAUACAUAUGGGGUACGAUAUAGACGAAGACUAUUGUAUGCAUGAAUGACACUGGAAAGGAACGAUUCAUAACUGUGUUAGUUAGGUAUCUGAUAUAGCUGUUUGCAUGUAUAUUGAUUAAUUGAAAGUGUGUUAUAGAUAUUAUAUACAGAGCUUGGUUUUAUUUUUGGCAUAUGUUUGUAAUAUUGUUUGAACUUUGAUAUAAGUGACCGAACUAUUCAUUUUAACUUUAAGUUUACUAAUGCAGACAAUUUUAAUAAGAACCUGUUAUCCACCAAACAGUUUCCUUAUCAGUAUCUUCUAACCUGUACUAUCAACAAUAGCAUUAUAAAAUAUUAAUAUUUUAACUUUAUCUACACUUACCCUAGUUCGACCAUUGAAAUGCAUACCUACCAACUUCAUUGAUAGUACAUCCUCACUGACAAUUCUAAUGUAUCUAUAUUAACGAAAUGUUUUCGAUCUUGUUCGUGUUUUGAAAUUACAAAUGAAACUCCGUAAAUAUUUUGCAUAGCGAUAAUUGUCCAGUAGAAAUCAUCAUUAUAUAGAAUCUUCAAAUAUUCAAAUAUCACCAAGCGCAUUUUCGAUAAAUUUCUUUCCCCCGAGAAGAUCAAUAAAGAAAUACGCUCUCCGUUAACAAGUUAUAAAAUGAGAUAUUUAUUUUUUAUCUAAGAACUAUUUUUCUCCUUACAUUGAAAACAACCUUCUUAUUUACAGAGAUUUUUUUUAUCAAAAUAACGCCAAAAAUAUCAGUAAUUGUAGUAUUAUUCGAUAUCAACCGUAUUAAAAAGAAUGAUCCUCGUUAUUUAAGGAAUAUCAUUGUUUUAUUUUACAACUUAUUGGCUUCGUGGCUUCGUGGCAGUGGGGAAAGGUAUUCACCCCGCACGAUUUUAUCCAUCCUCGAUACCGCUGGAGUAUCAAAAAAGGACUUUAUCUGGAAAAUCCUCUUUUCAUCAGUAUAGUUUUUGCACUGGGUGGUAUAUUUAUUCUUGCUGUCAAAGUUCCAAACAUGUCAUGUCGUUCCAUGAAUUAUGUUUUCGUUCUACUGUUAUGUGGGAUAUAUUGCAACAGGAUUAAACAUCGCUGAAAUAUAUCAUACUUGCAAUAAUUGCGAAUUAACAGUUCAUUGAUUCUAACAAUUUUUAAAUAGUCCUAUCACUUGUUAAAUAGAAUUGUUUGCAUGGUUGACAAGUGUUAAAAAGAAACUAUCUAUAUUUUUUUUAAAUUUUAUUUUUAGGAAGUUGAUAAUAAUUUACUAUUCAUAAAGUGUUUAUCUUGAAAAUACCAUUCAGUUCAAGAUUUUAAUUGAAUUAUAUAAUUUGCAUAUGACGUUUAACAUAAGUAUCGUUAAAUGUUCUUAACUUCUGAACAUUAUAAUCAUUUUUGUAGAAAACUACUCGAAGAAGCUAUGCUUACACGUAUAUACUCGAAUGUUUUUGUUUUAGUCAUCUUGGAUAUUUUUUAAUUGUAUAUAUAGAUUUAAGGUGUCCUUUCGCUAUCUGCUCAUCCUAAUGUAAUUCCUAUCAAAACAUGUAUCUAAAUAGUUCUAUGUUGAUAUGUUUGUAUAAUUGUAUAUAUUAUAAAAAAAUGAAUGUAGGAACCUGCGUCUAAAUUUGUAUGAUUAAGCCGUUCAAAUUGCUUUGCCACUAAUCGAACUGGAAUAUGUUUACUUUUUACAUAUUUGUCUUUUUGUAUGCCCACAUCGAUUUUACUCUAAGGUUAUAUUUUCAUGCAAACAUACGCUUAGCUGUUGACUUAUGAUAUGAAUCAACGCUGACUCCUUUUCUCAACUAUUCAUUGAAAGAUGUAGGUUUUAUAAUGUCAAAGCCGAUGCAUAAAAUCAUAUAUCAUUGCGAAAUGAUCAAAGCCGUAAUAAACCUUGCAUUUUUUUACAAAAUUAUUUAGUUGUAUGUUGGAGUUAUCUUGAUCUGAAUUUUUGACUAGUUAUGCUUUGAUGUUGAAGACCUGUAUUCAAGAAAAAAGUAUCAUGGAUACAAAUCUGUAUUUAAUGGGUCCUAAAUAAAGCUACGAUUACCAUCACUCUGAACAGUUCGUACAACUUACGGAGAACGCAUUUGAACAGUCCGCAUCUUCUGGAUAACCAUCAUUCUGAAAGGGCUGCACCUUCAGUGUGAAAACUACAUCUUCUGGUUGAAGACAAAUCCGAGCAGUCUACACUUUGUUGUAAAUAUCAUCGUCAAUAUAUGUAAC